AGAGCUACACUAUUUAAGGCGAGAUAUUAUUAAAGGUAUAUUAGCGAAGCCCUUUGAUAUAUCUUGUUUUAAACAGUGGCUUUCA
Cordylochernes scorpioides is the source of this 85-nucleotide non-coding RNA. The record is from the annotation of a GenBank genome assembly. NCBI's taxonomy places the organism in Eukaryota, Metazoa, Arthropoda, Arachnida, Pseudoscorpiones, Chernetidae.